RNAcentral lists this long non-coding RNA (693 nucleotides) under Androctonus crassicauda. The record is from RNAcentral. Lineage: Eukaryota; Metazoa; Arthropoda; Arachnida; Scorpiones; Buthidae.
CGGACAUCAAUUUUUUUUAUGUAGUUUUAAUUUUUAUAAUGUUUUGUACAAAUAUAUGAUAAUAAUUUGUUAGAUUUUGAAACUUUUUUCAACUAACGAAACUUGUUUACAUUGCGAAAUCAAUGUAAUUUGAUACCUCAGUCAUACGAUGUCUAUGAAUUACUACCGACCAUCCCCUGGUGAUAGUUUUUCGACGUAUUUCAAUAUAUUGCCUUUAUUUUAUAAGAAUCUUUUCAAAUAUUCAAAAUUUUUAAUUUAUAAUUCUAAUUAUUCAAAAUUUUGUAUUAGUUUAGGUUUAUUUAUUGUUUAUAUGAAAAUUUAUUUGUUUUUUUAUAUAAUUUAUCUGCGUUUGUAGUUUUGCCCUCUGUCUGCAGGAUCUCAUACUAAUUUUCGACUAAGAUUGCAAUUUUUCGUCGAAUUUUUAUGCGUUUAGCCGGGAAUCUGUUAUUAAUUCCUUUUAAAAAUGGCGGAACAACGAAUUAUUAUUCGUUAUUUAUCUAAUAUAAAUGGAAUUUUUAAUUAUUUCGUUUUAUUUUAUAAAGAAAAUACUUCAUACUAUAUCUGUCCCCCAUUUUCCAACGUGGGAUAUCCUAAUUGCGUUAGGCGAGAGGGGAAGUUCCUUUGUUUAUUUUUAUUGUGGGUGUUGUAAACACUAGCUGUGUUCGAUUUGACUACACUAACAGCACUAGUGUA